Molecule: ribosomal RNA, 469 nt
Filed under: uncultured bacterium
Lineage: Bacteria
Description: partial 16S ribosomal RNA
Rfam family: Bacterial small subunit ribosomal RNA
Source: RNAcentral
GAUGAACGCUGGCGGCGUGCUUAACACAUGCAAGUCGAACGGUGAAGCUCCAGCUUGCUGGCGUGGAUCAGUGGCGAACGGGUGAGUAACACGUGAGCAACCUGCCCCUGACUCUGGGAUAACAGCCGGGAACGGCUGCUAAUACCGGAUAUGCACCAUGAACGCAUGUUCUGUGGUGGGAAAGAUUUUUCGGUUGGGGAUGGGCUCGCGGCCUAUCAGCUUGUUGGUGAGGUAAUGGCUCACCAAGGCGUCGACGGGUAGCCGGCCUGAGAGGGUGACCGGCCACACUGGGACUGAGACACGGCCCAGACUCCUACGGGAGGCAGCAGUGGGGAAUAUUGCACAAUGGGCGAAAGCCUGAUGCAGCAACGCCGCGUGAGGGAUGACGGCCUUCGGGUUGUAAACCUCUUUUAGCAGGGAAGAAGCGAGAGUGACGGUACCUGCAGAAAAAGCGCCGGCUAACUACGUG